Molecule: ribosomal RNA, 253 nt
Filed under: uncultured bacterium
Lineage: Bacteria
Description: partial 16S ribosomal RNA
Rfam family: Bacterial small subunit ribosomal RNA
Source: RNAcentral
UACGAAGGGUGCAAGCGUUGUUCGGAAUUACUGGGCGUAAAGGGCGCGUAGGCGGGUCAGUAAGUCGAUUGUGAAAGCCCUGGGCUUAACCCGGGAAUGGCAGUCGAAACUACUGAUCUUGAAUGCUUGAGAGGAUGGCGGAAUUCCCGGUGUAGUAGUGAAAUACGUAGAUAUCGGGAAGAACACCUGAGGCGAAGGCGGCUAUCUGGCGAUGCAUUGACGCUGAGGCGCGAAAGCGUGGGGAGCAAAAGGG